GGCAUGGACACUGUUAGCAAUAACAAUCUGAUGUGUUGCGGCCAAUCCUCUCAUCGCUUGAUCGCCGGAGACGAGUGCCUGCAAAAGAAGUCCGCACUGACCGGAAGUGACUCCGACGGAGACCCUCUGACGGUCAAGUCAGAGAGGAGACUAGGCAACAGUAGAAAAGAAUCAAAAGAAAAGAAUCAAAGAGCUCAGCAAUAGAGAGAGAGAACUAGGAAGGAAGGGUUCAGGGGUUUCGAAAGGA
RNAcentral lists this long non-coding RNA (247 nucleotides) under Elaeis guineensis (African oil palm). Its description in RNAcentral is "long non-coding RNA (EGUI_LNC030778)". Lineage: Eukaryota; Viridiplantae; Streptophyta; Magnoliopsida; Arecales; Arecaceae. The record is from RNAcentral.